RNAcentral lists this unclassified non-coding RNA (329 nucleotides) under soil metagenome. RNAcentral's name for it is "partial contains 5.8S ribosomal RNA, internal transcribed spacer 2, and large subunit ribosomal RNA". The stretch from base 1 to 120 matches the Rfam family "5.8S ribosomal RNA", at positions 35 to 154 of the family's 154-position model. The record is from RNAcentral.
GAUGAAGAACGUAGCGAAAUGCGAUAAGUAAUGUGAAUUGCAGAAUUCAGUGAAUCAUCGAAUCUUUGAACGCACAUUGCGCCCCCUGGUAUUCCGGGGGGCAUGCCUGUCCGAGCGUCAUUACAACCCUCAAGCUCAGCUUGGUGUUGGGCCCCGCCGCCCCGGCGGGCCCUAAAGUCAGUGGCGGUGCCGUCCGGCUCCGAGCGUAGUAAUUCUUCUCGCUCUGGAGGUCCGGUCGUGUGCUCGCCAGCAACCCCCAAUUUUUUUCAGGUUGACCUCGGAUCAGGUAGGGAUACCCGCUGAACUUAGGCAUAUCAAUAAGCGGAGGA